This 1270-nucleotide long non-coding RNA is filed under the name Cyanistes caeruleus (blue tit). Its description in RNAcentral is "lncRNA (ENSCCEG00000013511.1)". The record is from RNAcentral. Lineage: Eukaryota; Metazoa; Chordata; Aves; Passeriformes; Paridae.
GAAACAUAUGGAUGAUGAACUGUUCUGAAAGAUGCUGUGACUAGAAGUGCUGAAACACGAGAUGCUGACUCAAAGGUGAAUUUAUAUAUACCAUUAUAUUUCUUUGGGUUUGUUCCAAAUAACAUUGGAAUGGAUUCUAAAAGCUGCUCUUUCUAUCUGGAGGAAAGAACAACAACAUUCAAAACCAUCUUCAACUUGUUGCCUUUCUUUGGAAUUUGCAAGUACUACUUUUUUUGCAGUUAGAAAUCUGAAACUUCAUUGUAGUUUAGUUUGUGCUGUACAAAACCAAUUUUGAAACUAUUUCUAUGCAGGAAAGAAGUAUCCAGCUUCCUCUCUGAACUGGCCCAUGGACUGCACAAGAAGAGAAGCAGGUCCUGGUGAUCCAACCCUGCCAGACACCCCACUGGAGAGCUAUGGAAAGCCUCCAAAGGGAAAUAGGCAAGAACUCAAGAGCCAGAUCUUCCUUCCCCAGGUCUUCCCCACCAGGAACUGGCAUGAGAAAACUUGAGAGACCCUUCUUUGCCUGUAAGCCCAUGUAGUUUUUUCCACUGGAGGUGGGGAAAUCACUGCCAGGAUUUAAUAGGAAAUGUAAUAGGGUUAACCUUAAUUUAAAUAAUUGUUAAGCUAUUAAAAUAGCUAUUAGCAUGCCCUAUCAUUUGCUAUCAGACAAAUGCAAAUAUGUGUCACCGCAUCAAUUCACAAGAACACAGAUUGGGAACUGAUAAUUGUUACUGUAGUUCCCACCCCAGAGAUCCAGGAGGUUUUUGUUACUAUAUGACGAACCUCAGCAUUUGCAAUAGCCUCUCUAUCUGCAGCAGCAAGCUGAGGUGGGUGUAGGCAGAAAUAUAAAGGCAUUUUCAUCCUCCUGCAUUUGCAAAACAGAUUUACCUUCAGUAAUGCAAAAUGGAAUAUGUCCAGAAUCUAACCUCUGAAUAUUUUUAUGUAGUUUUAUAGCAAUGAUCCCAUCCUGUUUCUGUUAAAGAUUCAACAUUUUAAUGAGCAAUGGAUGAACAAGAUCUUCUGGCCUGAGCCCUAGAAGUGCACUACUGUCUAUAAAAUAUGUGUUGUUAAGAGCCACUGCGGAGUCAAAUGGAGCAUUAUGUAAUUCUUUGGCAAAUGGGCUCUCUGUGUAAGUACUUGGAAGUUAUAAGUUUGUUAACUUUGUCUUCCCAAGCUGUAAAAGGGUCCCAUAAUAGCAAUUUCUCUUGGCUUGCCAGGCACAGAAAUUAACUCUAGAAAACUAUGUAACAGAAGAUUAAAAAUAAAGCAG